This 254-nucleotide ribosomal RNA is filed under the name uncultured bacterium. Its description in RNAcentral is "partial 16S ribosomal RNA". It matches the Rfam family "Bacterial small subunit ribosomal RNA", at positions 524 to 776 of the family's 1533-position model. The record is from RNAcentral.
UACGUAGGGGGCGAGCGUUGUCCGGAAUUAUUGGGCGUAAAGAGCUCGUAGGCGGUUCGGCAAGUCACGUGUGAAAUCUCCACGCUCAACGUGGAGGCGUCACGUGAGACUGCUGUGACUCGAGUCCGGUAGGGGAGCGUGGAAUUCCCGGUGUAGCGGUGAAAUGCGCAGAGAUCGGGAGGAACACCCGUAGCGAAGGCGGCGCUCUGGGCCGGUACUGACGCUGAGGAGCGAAAGCGUGGGGAGCAAACAGG